This 350-nucleotide small RNA is filed under the name Histoplasma ohiense. RNAcentral's name for it is "hypothetical lncRNA". Lineage: Eukaryota; Fungi; Ascomycota; Eurotiomycetes; Onygenales; Ajellomycetaceae. The record is from RNAcentral.
GGUAAAGAGGAAGAGAUAUGUCGACUGUUGGCAGCGACGCAAUAUACUCUCAUGUUGUCGUUUCUUUUCGGACAACUCCAGGUGUGACAAUCAACAAUCACCGGUCUUGCGACCAACAUUCUUUAAUUUACUGUGGUUUGUUGAAAUGCAACUUGCGCAAGCAAUAUUGAGAAGGAUGCCAGACUCCGGAAGGACUGACUUUCAUAUGAUGAACCGCCGUGGACGAGGUUGGUUGUGGACAGAGUGAUCCAACAGACCAGAGAGGGGAUAAACUCCCAACAUAGCAGUAAUAUUCCAUAUUCCUCUUUGCAUGCGGACAGUUUGUCCUUCUUAUCAUUCUUGUCCAUCCA